Molecule: ribosomal RNA, 468 nt
Filed under: uncultured bacterium
Lineage: Bacteria
Description: partial 16S ribosomal RNA
Rfam family: Bacterial small subunit ribosomal RNA
Source: RNAcentral
GACGAACGCUGGCGGCGUGCUUAACACAUGCAAGUCGAACGGAAAGGCCCUACGUUUGUGGGCUUCUCGAUUGGCGAACGGGGGAGGAACACGUGAGUAACGUGCCCUACACUUUGGGAUAACUUCAGGAAACUGGGGCUAAGACCGUAUAGGAGCUGCCGCUGCAGGGAGGGGGUGGGAUAUUUUCGGCUGUUGGGGAUGGACGCGCGGCUGAUGAGCUAGCUGGUCGGGUAGGGGCUGACCAAGGCUUGGACGGGUACCCGGCCUGAGAGGGUGGCCGGCCACAUUGGGCCUGCGAGACGGCGCAGAGUCCUACGGGGGGCAGCAGUGGGAAAUAUUGCCCAAUGAGCGGACGCCUGAUAAGACAACCCCGCGUGCGGGAUGACGGCCUUCGGGGUGUAAACAGCUUCAGCCUGUGACGACGCUUGAGUGACGGUACUGGAUAAAGAAGCACCGGCUAACUACGUG